Molecule: ribosomal RNA, 497 nt
Filed under: uncultured bacterium
Lineage: Bacteria
Description: partial 16S ribosomal RNA
Rfam family: Bacterial small subunit ribosomal RNA
Source: RNAcentral
GAUGAACGCUGGCGGCGUGCCUAAUACAUGCAAGUCGGGCGAACGGACGAGAAACUUGCUUUUCUGAUGUUAGCGGGGGACGGGCGAGUAACACGUGGAUAACCUACCUAUAAGACUGGGAUAACUUCGGGAAACCGGAGCUAAUACCGGAUAAUAUUUUGAACCGCAUGGUUCAAAAGUGAAAGACGGUCUUGCUGUCACUUAUAGAUGGAUCUGCGCUGCAUUAGCUAGUUGGUAAGGUAACGGCUUACCAAGGCAACGAUGCGUAGCCGACCUGAGAGGGUGAGCAGCCACACUGGAUCUGAGACGCGGUCCAGACUCCUACGGGAGGCAGCAGUAGGGAAUCUUCCGCAAUGGGCGAAAGCCUGACGGAGCAACGCCGCGUGAGUGAUGAAGGUCUUCGGAUCGUAAAACUCUGUUAUUAGGGAAGAACAUUUGUGUAAGUAACUGUGCACGUCUUGACGGUACCUAAUCAGAAAGCCACGGCUAACUACGUG